AUUGAACGCUGGCGGCAUGCCUUACACAUGCAAGUCGAACGGCAGCACGGGUGCUUGCACCUGGUGGCGAGUGGCGAACGGGUGAGUAAUACAUCGGAACAUGUCCUGUAGUGGGGGAUAGCCCGGCGAAAGCCGGAUUAAUACCGCAUACGAUCUACGGAUGAAAGCGGGGGACCUUCGGGCCUCGCGCUAUAGGGAUGGCCGAUGGCUGAUUAGCUAGUUGGUGGGGUAAAGGCCUACCAAGGCGACGAUCAGUAGCUGGUCUGAGAGGACGACCAGCCACACUGGGACUGAGACACGGCCCAGACUCCUACGGGAGGCAGCAGUGGGGAAUUUUGGACAAAGGGCGAAAGCCUGAUCCAGCAAUGCCGCGUGUGUGAAGAAGGCCUUCGGGUUGUAAAGCACUUUUGUCCGGAAAGAAAUCCUUGGCUCUAAUACAGUCGGGGGAUGACGGUACCGGAAGAAUAAGCACCGGCUAACUACGUG
This 486-nucleotide ribosomal RNA is filed under the name uncultured bacterium. Its description in RNAcentral is "partial 16S ribosomal RNA". It matches the Rfam family "Bacterial small subunit ribosomal RNA", at positions 30 to 507 of the family's 1533-position model. The record is from RNAcentral.